AUUGAACGCUGGCGGCAUGCCUAACACAUGCAAGUCGAGCGGAUGAACGGGCCUUGCUCCUGGAUUCAGCGGCGGACGGGUGAGUAAUGCCUCGGAAUCUGCCUAGUAGUGGGGGAUAACUUCCCGAAACGGGCGCUAAUACCGCAUACGUCCUGAGGGAGAAAGCGGGGGAUCUUCGGACCUCACGCUAUCAGAUCAGCCUAUGUCGGAUUAGCUAGUUGGUGGGGUAAAGGCCUACCAAGGCGACGAUCCGUAACUGGUCUGAGAGGAUGAUCAGUCACACUGGAACUGAGACACGGUCCAGACUCCUACGGGAGGCAGCAGUGGGGAAUAUUGGACAAUGGGCGAAAGCCUGAUCCAGCAAUGCCGCGUGUGUGAAGAAGGUCUUCGGAUUGUAAAGCACUUUAAGCUGGGACGAAGGGCAGUAAGUUAAUACCUCGCUGUUUUGACGGUACCCACAGAAUAAGCACCGGCUAACUUCGUG
Molecule: ribosomal RNA, 484 nt
Filed under: uncultured bacterium
Lineage: Bacteria
Description: partial 16S ribosomal RNA
Rfam family: Bacterial small subunit ribosomal RNA
Source: RNAcentral